This 502-nucleotide ribosomal RNA is filed under the name uncultured Pelagibacterales bacterium. RNAcentral's name for it is "bacterial SSU rRNA". It matches the Rfam family "Bacterial small subunit ribosomal RNA", at positions 91 to 627 of the family's 1533-position model. Lineage: Bacteria; Pseudomonadati; Pseudomonadota; Alphaproteobacteria; Candidatus Pelagibacterales. The record is from RNAcentral.
CUUAGUGGCAGACGGGUGAGUAACAUGUGGGUAUCUACCCUUUGGCCUGGAAUAACACGAGGAAACUUGUGCUAAUACCGGAUAAGUCUUUACGGAGAAAGCUUUAUGCACCAUUGGAUGAGCCCGCACUUGAUUAGUUUGUUGGUAGGGUAAUGGCCUACCAAGACUAUGAUCAAUAGCUGAUUUGAGAGGAUGAUCAGCCACAUUGGGACUGAGACACGGCCCAAACUCCUACGGGAGGCAGCAGUGGGGAAUCUUGCACAAUGGAGGAAACUCUGAUGCAGCGAUGCCGCGUGAGUGAAGAAGGCCUUUGGGUUGUAAAGCUCUUUCGUCGGGGAAGAAAAUGACUGUACCCGAAUAAGAAAGUCCGGCUAACUUCGUGCCAGCAGCCGCGGUAAUACGAAGGGACCUAGCGUAGUUCGGAAUUACUGGGCUUAAAGAGUUCGUAGGUGGUUGAAAAAGUUGGUGGUGAAAUCCCAGAGCUUAACUCUGGAACUGCCAU